Molecule: ribosomal RNA, 467 nt
Filed under: uncultured bacterium
Lineage: Bacteria
Description: partial 16S ribosomal RNA
Rfam family: Bacterial small subunit ribosomal RNA
Source: RNAcentral
GACGAACGCUGGCGGCGUGCUUAACACAUGCAAGUCGAACGGAAAGGCCCUGCUUUUGUGGGGUGCUCGAGUGGCGAACGGGUGAGUAACACGUGAGUAACCUGCCCUUGACUUUGGGAUAACUUCAGGAAACUGGGGCUAAUACCGGAUAGGAGCUCCUGCUGCAUGGUGGGGGUUGGAAAGUUUCGGCGGUUGGGGAUGGACUCGCGGCUUAUCAGCUUGUUGGUGGGGUAGUGGCUUACCAAGGCUUUGACGGGUAGCCGGCCUGAGAGGGUGACCGGCCACAUGGGGACUGAGAUACGGCCCAGACUCCUACGGGAGGCAGCAGUGGGGAAUAUUGCACAAUGGGCGGAAGCCUGAUGCAGCAACGCCGCGUGCAGGAGGACGGCCUUCGGGUGGUAAACCGCUUUCGCCUGUGACGAAGCGUGAGUGACGGUAAUGGGUAAAGAAGCACCGGCUAACUACGU